UUCAACUGGGGAGGAGCGUUGUAGAAGAGAUGAUCCUUCAGAAAAUAAACGUAGAAGAGUAGCAGUACCGUUGAAUGUUGAGAAGUGUCAAGAGCAGCUUCAGUCUUAUUACGACACCUUCAGUAAGGUGAAAGUCGUUCCACGAUAAAGGGAUCGCAAAGGGAAUGUCAAACCUGAAGAAGAAUGGCCAACAGAUGAAUACUGGAGAAAAAGUUGGAGCUUCGUCCAUGGAUCAGAGCAAGAACCAGAUCCUGGGUCAGUUACCGACUUAGGUGACGAGGAGGAACCUCGGUCCUGCCUGGAAACGUAACUGACCAGGACUGGCUCAGUAGACCGCCUGUAAAUAGUGAAACUUACCAUUGGUCAGAACUGGCUGGCC
This is a non-coding RNA of Pocillopora verrucosa, 379 nucleotides long. NCBI's taxonomy places the organism in Eukaryota, Metazoa, Cnidaria, Anthozoa, Scleractinia, Pocilloporidae. The record is from RefSeq and is a predicted model, not a curated record.